Molecule: transfer RNA, 75 nt
Filed under: Vibrio vulnificus
Lineage: Bacteria; Pseudomonadati; Pseudomonadota; Gammaproteobacteria; Vibrionales; Vibrionaceae
Description: tRNA-Arg
Rfam family: tRNA
About the family: Transfer RNA (tRNA) molecules are approximately 80 nucleotides in length. Their secondary structure includes four short double-helical elements and three loops (D, anti-codon, and T loops).
Source: RNAcentral
CUUCCCAUAGUUAAAUGGAUAUAACAGUUCCCUUCUAAGGAAUUAUUCUUGGUUCGAGUCCAAGUGGGAAGGCCA